GCAGCCCUGAGAGGUGGAGCAGAGAAGGAGGGCUGUCCUCAAACCAGGACAACAGCUGGACUCUGCCAAGGGGGAAACGGGCCCCUGACGUCCAGGACACAGUCCCAGACACAAACUCCGGUACUCACGGGCCAGAUGAGCCAGGAAGGCCUUGCGGACAUGAAGUGACCAGGGCCAGAGUGCAGACACAGGGGUGGAGAUUCUGCGUGGCUCUGCAGUGCCCAGAGACCCCCGAGAAGAGUCCUCCCGGGUAGUUCAGAUGAGGUCAGACCUCAGGCCGCUCUGCUCAGACAGGGAGGGAGGGCAGCCCCACUGACUCCCUUUGGUCAGAGCGAAGGACUGAGAAGUCAAGGGCCAAAGGUCACCGUGACCCACUGUGACCCCACAGCUGUUCUCCUGAGGAUGGAGCUGACUUCUCGUUCACUCAAGGGAGAACCAAACCUCCUUGAGCCUGUCGUCAGCCCAGGAAACCCCCUCCUGCGUGCGGGCAUCAAGACCAGCUGUGGGUGCAGCCGGUCCUCCCUGACCCACUCCAGAUCGUCACAUCCCCGCGCGGCCCAACCAGCUCCCGCGGGGUCUCACAUCACCGGUGCACGGAGGCCGGCCACCCCACACCUCCCCAGAGCCAGCCUCAGCCCCACUCCUCCUGCUCGCCGCUCCCCACAACUGAGCCGCCAGGCCCCCGCCGCCGCCCACGCAGCAGACCCGAGGGGACGCCCUGUCCCGGGACCACUUCUGUCUCCCGAAACGAACCUUGUAAACUCAAAUUUUAAGUUUUAGAAAACUGCCAGUGCCCUCUAAACUCUCGUCAACAGAGCCAGGCAGAUGCAGGGACCAGGAAUAAAGAAGGGCCUGGAGGAUGGCGGGAGGUCCGAGGUGCUUCCCCAGACCAACAAGGGACGGGGGCCCCACAGGCGCGGGGAGGAGCAGGCGACCCCAACCUUGCCCACUCCAGAGUCACGUAACUCAUCGCGUGAUGCCACUGCGCGGUGACUGCUCUCAUCACCUCACCGCAGCCAGCGGCCCUGGUGCUGCUUCGUCCUCGCGCAUCACUAAUAUGACACCCAACGGCUCUCUCUGCAGUGUCUUCGCCAGGACGGCGUGUGUGAGCAUCCAAGCUCCCCCAUGAGCUCAGGGCCACGCUGGGAGGGGCCCGGCCCAGCACCGGCCCUACAGAGGAGCUCACACUGGCACCUCUCAGGCUCAGACAGAGUCCACGUGCCCCAAGUAACCACAGCAGCAACAGAAGGUAGACCUCGGGAGUCACCUGUGCUCAUCUGGGGAACCUGCCACGUUCUCUCUGAGGCCCCCCUCCCUGGGCCCUACGGUCACUCCCCCUAAGCUAGCUUAAGUGGGAAGGGCCCACACAGAAACACGGGGAGAGCAGGGAGAGUCCACAAACAUGGCAACAGACAGGCGACCGUGACGCCACUGAGACCCUCCGCUGCCUUCCUGACUAGACUCCUGGACCCCGUUCCUCCCAACAGGAGAUGCCGCCGCCCACCCCCAGGACAGACCCUGAGGUGGUCAACAUUUAAGCAGCCAUCACGCCCCAGUCCCUUAGCGAGUCCCGCCCUGCCCCCAGGCAGCGUCGUAAACGGCUCGUGUCAGCAUCCUCCAGGGCUGUCCAGCAGGCCUUCCGGCGGUGUGCACAUCACCGGAUUCCAAACAUGCAAGAUAUUUGAGACUUUAAAUCUAAGAAGUGCCUCCCCCACCAGUAACCCUACCCCUCCCUCAGCACCUCCAGAGCCGAUAAAAGGAGGAGACGCUGCAGAUGAAAGUGUGCCCUCGGCAGCCCGCCCAGGACAGGGAGAACAGCCGCCCGAGACCUAGGACGUCGGCAGGGGACCGGGGGCAAAAACCGCCUGCAAACUGGUUUCAAAUUCCAACCGCACAGAGCUUGUCAGACUGCAGGACGUGGACAGGGUGCAGGUGCGGCUUGCUGGCGGCUUCUUCAGGUGACCAGGCUGAGACCCUGUCUCCUUGGGCCCUACUGCCCUAGGGACAGGCCUGGUCCCAGUUCUGUAACUCCCCCAUCAGAGAGGACAUCUACAGAGUCCCAAACUCAGGCAAGCAGACCAAAUUCCCACAAAGUCCACUGAGAUUGCAGCUUAGAGGCAGUAAUGCCAGAAGAAUGCAGAGACACCUCCGCCGUGGGCCAUCCCGGUGGAACGAGGGGCCAGGAGUGCCCGGAGGGAGCCUGGGAAGAGGCCCGGCCUGUCAGCCCCACCCCUGCCCCAGUGCCCGGAGCCGGCUUGGGGGUUUGGGGGGCUGUCUGAAUAGUAGAGACACCUACGCCUCUGAAAUUUGGAAGCCCCAAUGUCUUUGACAAAAACUGGUCACUGCUUCAUGGCCUGGCCUUAUGCACGAGUUUCCCGAGUGAUGGCAGAGUUAGAGGGCCGGUCCCCAUGGUGCUGCUGGCUGGGCUCUGGGUCUGGGUCUCCGUCCUGCCUGCUGGGCAUCCGCAGAGAGACGCUAGUUAAAACACCUGAGUCUGCAGAAACUACCCAGAAAGCCAGUGUGGCUGGAGACGGGCGGCCAUGACGGGAGGAGGUGAGAGCCAAACGCACAUCUUUGCAGAAAGACAGAGAAGACUGAGCAUGGGAGGAUGUGGAGAAAUCAGUCCUCCCGCCCUGCUGGUGGAAACGCAGAAUGGGGAAGCGGCUGGCAGUUCCUCAAAAGGUUAAACGCGAGUCACCAAAACCCAGAAGUCUUCACCCCGGGAACGUGCCCAGGAGGAGUGAAGACAUCCACACACAAACUCAGGAGUGAGUAUCCACUACAGCCCAAAGGUGCAGACUGCCAAGCGGCCGCCAGCUGGUGAGGGGGGAGCAAGGCACAGCCCAGCCGCACAGCGGGACCCGCGCCAUGCCGACCGGAGUCGGGCGCUGACACACGCUGGGCUCUGAACGCACGAUGCACAAGGCCACGUGCAUGACUCCAUUCAUGUGAAACAUCCAGAAAAGGUACAAAAAAAAGUGCUAAAACUGACCGUGGAGAUAGCUGAACAGCUCUGUGAACACACUAAAGGCCAGCAGAUCGUACACUUCACGUGACGCCAUCAUCAAACAACAUUCCUGGAAGAAGCAGAGGAAUCCAUGCUGUCAGAGCAAGUGAACAGGACCGGGAUGGAUGGACGGCCCCGCACAAGGUCCCAGCAGACCUCACCUCGCCCUGAGCUGGAGUGGGUGGGGGUGGGGAGGAGAGGCAGGGACGGCCCCACACGCAGCUCUGAGGUGGAGGAGACAGAGGACACCCUGUGGUAGCUGGAGGGGACACGGGGUCAGGGAGCUUCCCAGGUGGGAUGGGAACCAGGCCACCAGGGCACAACUGAGGGCGCCGAGGCCCCGGCCACCCCGCCCAGCCCAGGGGAGGGGCUUGGGGGCCACCGCACAGCGCUCUGCAAUCUGCACAGCGCUCUGCAAUCCCCAGGUGGGGUGGAGAAAAAGGCAAACCAGCUCAAAAUUGACAUGCAGCUCCGAAUAAGCAACAGGACAGGGCCCUCCAGGCAGACACCCAAGAGCGAGCUGUGCUCUCAGAAUCCUACCGCUUGGCUAAGUCUCCUUCCCAAGAAACAGCCUUACCAUGUAAGGGUGGGACCGAGUUUUGAAACCACAGCCUGCAAGAAUUCACCUUCUCAGUUCACUUCUAGCAAAAAAGAAAAGAAAAGAAAAGAAAAAAACACAUAAAGAACCAAAAGCUAGAAACCUCACUUAUGGAAAAUCCAGCCGUCUCAAGCAAAACAGUGAGCUGUGCCGCCCAGCCACUCCUUGUGGGCAAAUGGGUGGCAACAGCUGGGCCCCGCGUGGGCACCACGGAACAGCCUGGGGCCCUCCGAGGCCAAUCUGGAGACAGCACAGGCAGCCCCAGCCACACCUAGGCCCCACCAGGGAGACGCUCUUCCCCGCAGGUUCAGGAGGGCCCCCAGCUAGGACAGGGGUCCUGCGGGUGAGGGUCCAGAGCCCUGGUCAGGGUUGGACAGGCCACACAGCUACGCCCUUAACAGUGUACACAGUGGGUCACCUUCCACCCUCUCCGUCCGGGCGGGAGCGCUGUGUGACGUGUGAUGACGUCAUCCUCUAACAGCUGCUGCCACUUUCUCAGCCCCUGCCCCUGACACGGUAAAUACUGGUGUCACGAGCUACACGGCCGAGAACUCUUCGGGGUCCUCCGUGACUCCUAAGAACGCAAGGGUAGAAGUUUGAGGACCAAUGUAAACAUGUCUUCUUCACCUUUGUGUAUGACAUCACAGGGGGAGGAGCACCUGAUGGGCCUCUGUGGGGACUAGAGCAGCCACGCCACCCUGGGACCCGACAGAGCCAGGUGUGCUGACAAGAACACAGCAGCCUGCCAGAUAAGACGCCCUCUGGGUCGCAGGAUGUUAGGGCCAAACCGUGGUCACAGUUCACAUCCAGAGCUUCAGGGAGUCGUGCUGGACGGGGAGGAAGUGACAAGGGAUGACCACGAAACUGCAAAAGCAAACACGCAUCACCUGUCCCAUGUGCACGAGAGGGAACCGUGUCCUUCCCAGCAGGGCCCGUCCGCUUCCAAGUCAGAGCCCUCCUCCUCGGCCCACGCCCUCCAAGGAGAGGCCACCGGUGCCCACUGUGAGUCCUGGUCGCACAGCAGAGCUUGGCUUCCAGAUGGAGAAGCCUGGCAAGAACGAGUCCCUCCCCAGGCCUGGCCACCAUCUGAAGACAGUGUCUGUCAGCAUGGGCACACGUCACACAGAGAGAGUCACUGAGCAGAUCUUCCGAAACCUACAGUAAACCGAGGAGUUAAAAUUUCCUUCACUCAAGAAUUUGCUGUUUCCACCCACCAGGCUUCCAAGGGGACUGGUUAACGCCCACCCCUGCCUUUCCACACCACUGAGGAAGGACGGCUCCCGCCCUCUGGACCCAGCUGCACACAGUCAGAAACCCACGGGUUAGGACAGAUACAGCAAAGACAUCUUGCAGAAUUAACCUGUGCACUGUUCAUCAAAAUAAAUGUUCCUUCCCGAUAUAAACAUGAUGCAAAACCCCACACAGACUUUGAGAAAAAUGAACAUUCAGAGAGACCACGUUGCUAAACAAGAAUGAAUGAAGUUACCCAUUUUCACAUCAACAAGAAGUGUGCGUAUACAGUCAAAACACAACAAAAAUGCUAGAACUAGGAAUCAAAGAUUACUGGAAAGAAUGUUUGCACAGCAAAAUUCUUUUCCCUUUGAGACUACAGUGCCCCACCAUGCUUCAUUCUCCUGACAUUUCUGAGGCUUUAAAGCCACAACUAACGGAUCUGAAUCAUCUGAGUGAAACCAUGUUCUAGUGGAUGUUACUGGAAAGCCGAGAAUAGAACGCUAAAUAUAUAGACACACACCCAUAGCGAGCACUUUUGUAGAAAAGGAUCAAACACGAAACUAGAUAGAGUUGUCCUGUCCGUGACAGUCAGAGGGCAAGCAGCUCAUGUCCAGCAGGGAAGUGUAAUACAUGGCGCCCGGAAGUCAAAAUAAGAAAAACGCCAAAACAGCGCCUACCUUUCAUUAAUAAAAUCACACCUUGCCUGUCCAUGAA
Camelus dromedarius (Arabian camel) is the source of this 5552-nucleotide long non-coding RNA. RefSeq lists it as uncharacterized. The transcript has 2 exons. The record is from RefSeq and is a predicted model, not a curated record. NCBI's taxonomy places the organism in Eukaryota, Metazoa, Chordata, Mammalia, Artiodactyla, Camelidae.